RNAcentral lists this ribosomal RNA (301 nucleotides) under uncultured bacterium. Its description in RNAcentral is "partial 16S ribosomal RNA". It matches the Rfam family "Bacterial small subunit ribosomal RNA", at positions 509 to 807 of the family's 1533-position model. The record is from RNAcentral.
CAGUAGCCGCGGUAAUACGAAGGGAGCUAGCGUUGUUCGGAAUUACUGGGCGUAAAGCGCGCGUAGGCGGUUACUCAAGUCAGAGGUGAAAGUCCGGGGCUCAACCCCGGAACUGCCUUUGAAACUAGGUGACUAGAAUCUUGGAGAGGUCAGUGGAAUUCCGAGUGUAGAGGUGAAAUUCGUAGAUAUUCGGAAGAACACCAGUGGCGAAGGCGGCUAACUGGUCCAUAACUGACGCUGAGGUGCGAAAGCGUGGGGAGCAAACAGGAUUAGAUACCCCUGUAGUCCCUGUCUCUUAUAC